RNAcentral lists this long non-coding RNA (476 nucleotides) under Malus domestica (apple). RNAcentral describes it as "long non-coding RNA (MDOM_LNC013039)". The record is from RNAcentral. Lineage: Eukaryota; Viridiplantae; Streptophyta; Magnoliopsida; Rosales; Rosaceae.
AAGAGCUGAUUCACCAAGGUUGUCUAUUAUGUGAGGGCACUUGUCAACUCUAUGACUUGUCGAGACAAGUGUUGCUCAUCAUUUGGGUUGGAAGAGCUCAGACGGUAUGCAUCUCAUUGAGUAGUGGAAGUGUAAUAGACUCUGGGCAUGAGAUUUGAGUUGGGAUAUGUUAAAUUUGCGGAGAAAUGGGGUGAAAAUACUUCUGGUUUAAUCGUCGGUCCAGAAAUCUGAAGGCGGGACGGUUAAACCGAUCUUGGACUGGUUUGGGCUACUAGAAGGGCCAUGAGUUGGAUCGCGAUAGCAGGUCUGGUCAUCGGAGUGGGUCAGACCACUAGCAUGGGCUAUCCCGCGUGCGAUGCUCGAGGGCGUUAGGCCUCGGCUUGGCUUGGUAAUGCGCUGGCCUUGGGCUCACGAGCGUAGGGCUGCUUCUUCUGUCCCAGCUUCGUAGGCUUGCAUUGCUGAGGUAGUGACUCGGG